GACGAACGCUGGCGGCGUGCUUAACACAUGCAAGUCGAACGAUGAAGAAGAGAAACGCGAACUUCGGUUCAAAUUUCACUUCGGAUUAGUGGCAGACGGGUGAGUAACGCGUGAGCAACCUACCUCUUACAAAGGGAUAGCCUCGGGAAACCGUGAUUAAUACCAUAUGACACAUUCAUAAGGCAUCUUAAGAAUGUUAAAGCUACGGCGGUAAGAGAUGGGCUCGCGUCCCAUUAGCUAGUUGGUGAGGUAACGGCCCACCAAGGCGACGAUGGGUAACCGGCCUGAGAGGGUGAACGGUCACAUUGGAACUGAGACACGGUCCAAACUCCUACGGGAAGCAGCAGUGGGGAAUAUUGCACAAUGGAGGGAACUCUGAUGCAGUGACGCCGCGUGAGCGAUGAAGGAAUUCGUUUCGUAAAGCUCUGUUCUAUGGGAAGAAAAGGACUGUACCAUAGGAGAAAGCCCCGGCUAAAUACGUG
Molecule: ribosomal RNA, 482 nt
Filed under: uncultured bacterium
Lineage: Bacteria
Description: partial 16S ribosomal RNA
Rfam family: Bacterial small subunit ribosomal RNA
Source: RNAcentral